GCAUAUCAAUAAGCGGAGGAAAAGAAAAUAACAAUGAUUCCCCUAUUAACUGCGAGUGAAGAGGGAUAAGCUCAAAUUUUAAAUCUGUUUUGGUUUUACCAUGCAGAGUUGUAAUUUGAAGAAACGUUUUCUGUGUCUUGAAUUAAUUAAAAUCCUCUGGAAUGGGGUAUCAGUGAGGGUGACAGUCCCGUUCAUGGUUAAUUUUAAGACGCUUUAUGAUACGUUUUCGAAGAGUCGAGUUGUUUGGGAUUGCAGCUCAAGAUGGGAGGUAAAUUUCUCCUAAGGCUAAAUAUUGGCGAGAGACCGAUAGCGAACAAGUACCGUGAGGGAAAGAUGAAAAGAACUUUGAAAAGAGAGUUAAACAGUACGUGAAAUUGUUGAAAGGGAAACGAUUGAAGUCAGUCGUACCAGCGGGAAAUCAACCUUUCGAGUGGGAUCUUGGAGCUUUAAAGAGUUUCAAAGCCUUUGGGGUUUCAAGAUUUCUACUCUUUUGGUGUACUUUCUCGUAGGUAGGUCAACAUCGAUUUUGAACAUCAUAAAAAGAUCGGAGGAAUGUAGCUUCGAUCUCGUAUUGAAGUGUUAUAGCCUUUGGUAAAUGUGAUGUUCAAGAUCGAGGAUUGCAACGAAUAUCCUUUUGGGCUAUUCGUCUGAUCUCUGAUACGUGGCCUUGGUAUCAAAAGCGUGCUUACGGUAUUAAGGUAUUACGGUCAAAAGGUUAGAACGGAUUACAUUCGUUAAGGAUGUUGACGUA
RNAcentral lists this ribosomal RNA (751 nucleotides) under uncultured Glomerales. RNAcentral's name for it is "LSU rRNA". It matches the Rfam family "Eukaryotic large subunit ribosomal RNA", at positions 38 to 633 of the family's 3401-position model. The record is from RNAcentral. Lineage: Eukaryota; Fungi; Glomeromycota; Glomeromycetes; Glomerales; Glomeraceae.